This is a long non-coding RNA of Leptinotarsa decemlineata (Colorado potato beetle), 468 nucleotides long. Lineage: Eukaryota; Metazoa; Arthropoda; Insecta; Coleoptera; Chrysomelidae. The record is from RefSeq and is a predicted model, not a curated record.
ACGCUUCGACUUCGCGAACCGCUGACAGUCCCUCGCUAUUGCCUGAACGCUUAGCUUGCCCGCCGAAGCUUUCUCAGAUUCAGUGUGUUCCGAGGCGUAUUAUGUAUAUACACUAAAACUAAAGCCUCCUCCACUCUAUUUGUAUUUCGAUACGGAUUUGUAACGCGUGUAGGUAUCGAGGUGUACUGUCUCUCUAUUUUGGACGUAGCGAUUAACUCUCUUCCGCUUCAUCCGAAUCAACAACGGCGAUAUUUUUGUACUAUAUCUCCUGAGACGAUACAACGUGCUUGUUCCACCGGGUUUUUCAAGUGACUUGUGCAGGAUUUUUUCUUGGUGAAAUAUUCAAUUGUUCCAGUCCAACGCUUCUGAUUUUCUGAGGAUAUCGUAUUGAUAAUAACGAAGACUUCUGGUCAACGCAUCAUCAUCUUCAGUAGAUAAGAGACCAUGCGCUAGAUUCCUUCUCUUCAA